Long non-coding RNA from Peromyscus leucopus (white-footed mouse), 1562 nucleotides. RefSeq lists it as uncharacterized. The transcript has 5 exons. NCBI's taxonomy places the organism in Eukaryota, Metazoa, Chordata, Mammalia, Rodentia, Cricetidae. The record is from RefSeq and is a predicted model, not a curated record.
CUGAGUUAGGGCUGUUACUAAAAAUACUUCUAAACACUAACCCAAGCCAUGGAACAGGAAGGGCUUCUCCAGUCCAAAGACUACAUGAAAAGAGAAGAAGAAAAGGCUUCCCGUUUGUAAAAGGAUGGUGCCAAAAUAACAAAAGCAAACAACUUCAGCAUACUUUUGUAAGAACACUGCAGUUCGCUCCUGCAUUCAUGAGGAAUCAGAAAACAUCUGUACCAUAUAUGAAAUGUUAAUGGAGUGCACCUAUUUCUCCUGAGAAUGCAACGAAGACCUCAAAGAUCUGCAGUUUCUCUGAGAUUUCACAUCUGUCUAACAUGAGGGUACCUAGGCUGUGCUCUAGAAAUGAGCUCUACUCUUCAGAUACCCUGCAUACAUCCCAUCUGAUGUACACAAAAUGAACAAGUCCCAGAUGACUCCUGAUCUGGUGCAUCCAACCAGGACAUCCAGAGACCACCAGACAAAUGAAACAUCCUACCAGGACAUCCAGAGACCACCAGAUGAAUGAAAACAUCUGAAGGCAGAUGACAAACCCAUCAAGAGGAGAUGUACCAAGGGGGAGAGUAAGCUGAUAAAUUGGGGAGACAGCAGGACUUUAACUCCUCAAGCUGAGACUGUGUGGAAACAACAAGGACUAACCCAAAAAUGAUGCUGUUAUGUUAAUGACUGUAUUACAAGUUAAUUCUUGUCAAUGAAGAAUCCAAAUGCCUUUCGUCAGGGAGGAUAAGACACACAUAUGAAAGGAGAUAGUAUGAUAUUGUUGUGCCAUGCUAAGGACUGUUCAUGAAGGUUUGUGUGGAAUAGGCCAUAUUACACUCAUUUCGCUCACAGCAAAAAUAAUAGCAGAAAUUAAGACAUGAAUGAACUGAGGAUGUUUUUGCCUUUCCUCAGUCCUCUGUUAGCUAUCCUUACAAUUCUCUCAUGCUUGCCUGUGUUAAUUAGACUAGCUAUAGGGGCAAUACAUUCAACCCUGGCCUCUAUUACAACCACUUUUUCUUUAAAAAAAAAUUAGAAGGGAGAUGUUGGGGAGCCAGAGGUCCUUGUACUCACAGAGAAGCACUAUGAGGACCGGGAAUAUAAUCACACAGGGGCACAAAUCAAAUUAGCUGCUUUCCAGGCAUGGUCAGAACAGAGAGGACAUGAUCUAAAGAAACAUGACUGUUAACUGUGUUUUAGAGCUCCUAGGCUCUAAAUAACAACAUGUAAUAAGGUACCAACAAUGGUUAAUUAAUGUAACAAAUGUGUCAUAUUAAGAAUAAAGGGAACUAGGUAUAAAACAGACAAAAACUCCCUGCUACUAUCUUUAUAAUAACGUUUAAAAUCUAAAACUGUAAUCAAAUAAAAGUUCACAUAAAAAUUACUGGAUUUUCUGUAUCAAGAAAUAUUGAUGUGGUGAUUCAUGUCUGUUACUCAGCACUUGGGAGGCAGAGGUAAGAGGAUUAUAGCAAGUCCAAGGCCAACCUGGCCUGCACACAGAAUUCCAUUAAGAAAAGUAGACAGUGCAGAGAAAGACAGAAUGGAGGGAGCGACAGAGGGAGCGGGGAGAAAGGGGUAGGAGA